Molecule: ribosomal RNA, 282 nt
Filed under: Triticum aestivum (bread wheat)
Lineage: Eukaryota; Viridiplantae; Streptophyta; Magnoliopsida; Poales; Poaceae
Description: partial small subunit ribosomal RNA
Source: RNAcentral
CUGCACCAGAAGAAGAAGCAAGCGGUGCUGAUGAAAAUCGACAUCUCCAAAGCUUUUGACACACUCUCUUGGGGUUUUUUGCUGGAGGUGUUGCGGGCCAGAGGAUUUGGUGUUCGCUGGUGCUCCUGGAUCUGCGGCUUGCUGAGUACGGCUACCACCUCGGUGCUCAUCAACGGUGAGCUGUCGGCACCUUUUGCUCUUGCUCAGGGCGUCAGCUGGCAAGGUGAUCCGUUGUCCCCGGCGUUGUUCAUCAUAGCCAUGGACACUCUCCAGGGAAUGCUG